GCACACGUGGCGCAGUGGUAGCGCAGCAGAUUGCAAAUCUGUUGGUCCCCGGUUCGAACCCGGGCGUGGGCU
Molecule: transfer RNA, 72 nt
Filed under: Diutina rugosa
Lineage: Eukaryota; Fungi; Ascomycota; Pichiomycetes; Serinales; Debaryomycetaceae
Also listed under: 1 other name
Description: Candida rugosa tRNA
Rfam family: tRNA
About the family: Transfer RNA (tRNA) molecules are approximately 80 nucleotides in length. Their secondary structure includes four short double-helical elements and three loops (D, anti-codon, and T loops).
Source: Rfam by way of RNAcentral